RNAcentral lists this long non-coding RNA (1618 nucleotides) under Homo sapiens (human). Its description in RNAcentral is "HSALNT0324469". Lineage: Eukaryota; Metazoa; Chordata; Mammalia; Primates; Hominidae. The record is from RNAcentral.
UCUCUCCAAGGAUCGCUGUGGCCUCUGUAAGCUCCCCUCAUAACUGCUCUGAACUGAGCACCCUGCUGAUGAGGGCUUCUUUCUUUGGAAUCCCAAUCGACCCCAUCCUGGAACAGUUCAGAGUACUCCCUUGUGGGAAUUCCCCCGCCGCUGCUUUUGGGGUGAUUCCAGCGUUGGGUUGGCUGGACAAAACAGCCUCGAAGCAUACUGCCCCAAAUCUGGUCCUUCUGAGUUUCUGAUUCCCUCACUCUUCAUCUCUUAUGACGCCUUCCUAAACAUUCCUGAGAGUUUCAAACAUUGUCUUUCAUUUGACUCAGGGAUUCAUCAUCCGCUUCCUGUUGAAAUAGUAAACGCCUCCACAUGGACUCACGGGUUCACCUCCUUCCGGUCUGAACAGUGAACUCCUCCGCAUCAACUCACCCAUUCACCCCUUCCGGUCUAAACAGUGAACGCCUCCGCAUGGACUCACGAGUUCACCUCCUUCCGGUCUAAACAGUGAACGCCUCCGCAUCGACUCACGGGUUCACCUCCUUCCGGUCUGAACAGUGAACUCCUCCGCAUGGACUCACGGGUUCACCUCCUUCCGGUCUGAACAGUGAACGCCUCCGCAUCGACUCACGGGUUCACCUCCUUCCGGUCUGAACAGUGAACUCCUCCGCAUGGACUCACGGGUUCACCUCCUUCCGGUCUGAACAGUGAACUCCUCCGCAUCGACUCACGGGUUCACCUCCUUCCGGUCUGAACAGUGAACUCCUCCGCAUGGACUCACGGGUUCACCUCCUUCCGGUCUGAACAGUGAACUCCGCAUCGACUCACGCGUUCACCUCCUUCCGGUCUAAAUGGUAAACUCCUCUGCAUUUUCUGUUCGGUUCUAUUUUGGUGGGGCCCACGCGUCAUCACAGAGUAUCUGGGAGCCCUGCCCUCUUGCAGAUGGGAAUGAAGGCCCAGGUGCUCUGGAGAGGUGACUCUCCUCUAGUUGUCUCGCUUCUCAGAAAGGAAACACUGGUUCUGUAAACCUGUUUGAGAAGAAAAGCUCGAGGUUUCUUGGCCUCUCUGCUUCUGGAGCCAGGGGAAAAAAUAGCCCCAGGCUGAAGACAGGAGGGACCAGAUUGCUGCUUGGUGAUGCGAUCUCACUGCAGAGGCAGCCAGGAGACCCUCCUGAGACGAAUCGGAGAGUCCAUGCUGCUUUUACACACAUCCUAGUUCUUUUAUAACUAGCCUUUUCCUAUUAACGGACAUCAUUCAAAAGCCAGUUUUAAGCAACAUAAAUAUUGAAAACAAUACUAUACUAUUUAGAAUUAAUUAUAAGUUUUGUUUUUAAAGCCUAAAUCUUUUAUUGUUGUUUGAACCCUGGGCACUGAAGCUAAUAAUGUAACUUUUCUCCCUUCUUUCUUCUUUGGCAUAGAUUUAAAGAACUGUUAGACUCAUUUAAAAUGCUAUUAGGCAUUUUAAAGAGUAAUUGUUAAAUGUGUUGUCUCUUGUGGGACUGGAAAUGUUCUGUUCUUAUCUGGCGCUGGUUACAUCCUGUUUUUCAUUUGGGAAAGUGCAUUGAGCUGGAAAUUUAUAUGUUCAAUUUCUGUAUGUAAAUUGUACUUCAGUAAAAAUUUUCAAAAAAGUG